Molecule: non-coding RNA, 183 nt
Filed under: Aplanochytrium stocchinoi
Lineage: Eukaryota; Bigyra; Thraustochytrida; Thraustochytriidae
Source: RNAcentral
GAAUGGAAAAAGAAGCGACAAAUCAGAAUAAACAACGGUGAAAUUCUGUCAAGGAGCUGGGCAGGUGCAUAAACUAAUUCUUUUUCUGUUUUACAGUUAAUAAUUUGUUUUUUUCUUAUGUAUACUAGAUGAAACAGAGAGUCCAACGUCCCAGUCACAGCCUUUAGUGAUUGAAGAAAAAAA